CUUUCGGGCUUCGACCGGCGUACGGGUGCGUAACGCGUAUACAAUCUGCCUUUCACAUAGGGAUAGCCCGAAGAAAUUUGGAUUAAUACCUAAUGGUAUAUAGGAGUGGCAUCACAUUUAUAUUAAAGCUGAGGCGGUGAAAGAUGAGUAUGCGUUCUAUUAGCUAGUUGGAGAGGUAACGGCUCCCCAAGGCGACGAUAGAUAGGGGUUCUGAGAGGGAUAUCCCCCACACUGGUACUGAGAUACGGACCAGACUCCUACGGGAGGCAGCAGUGAGGAAUAUUGGACAAUGGUCGGAAGACUGAUCCAGCCAUGCCGCGUGCAGGAAGACGGCCUUAUGGGUUGUAAACUGCUUUUGCAGGGGAAGAAUAAGGAGUACGUGUACUUUGAUGACGGUACUCUGCGAAUAAGCAUCGGCUAACUCCGUGCCAGCAGCCGCGGUAAUACGGAGGAUGCGAGCGUUAUCCGGAAUCAUUGGGUUUAAAGGGUCCGUAGGCGGGCUAAUAAGUCAGAGGUGAAAGCGCUCAGCUCAACUGAGCAACUGCCUUUGAAACUGUUAGUCUUGAAUGGUUGUGAAGUAGUUGGAAUGUGUAGUGUAGCGGUGAAAUGCUUAGAUAUUACACAGAACACCGAUAGCGAAGGCAUAUUACUAACAAUUAAUUGACGCUGAUGGACGAAAGCGUGGGGAGCGAACAGGAUUAGAUANCCUGGUAGUCCACGCUGUAAACGAUGGAUACUAGCUGUUUGGUUGUUAAGACUGAGUG
This 764-nucleotide ribosomal RNA is filed under the name uncultured Cytophaga sp. Its description in RNAcentral is "bacterial SSU rRNA". It matches the Rfam family "Bacterial small subunit ribosomal RNA", at positions 81 to 845 of the family's 1533-position model. The record is from RNAcentral. Lineage: Bacteria; Pseudomonadati; Bacteroidota; Cytophagia; Cytophagales; Cytophagaceae.